RNAcentral lists this small RNA (509 nucleotides) under Histoplasma capsulatum. Its description in RNAcentral is "hypothetical RNA". RNAcentral also lists the same sequence under 1 other name. Lineage: Eukaryota; Fungi; Ascomycota; Eurotiomycetes; Onygenales; Ajellomycetaceae. The record is from RNAcentral.
CUGUUGUAAUUAUUUAUAGAGCUUCAAAAGAAGUUUCUGUUCUUUCAAUAAGUAUAUACUCUUUUCUUUGUAUUAUAAUAAUUGUUAAUACUUUGUAGUUGCUUCAGAUAUCAUCUUAUAUAUAUCUAUUACUGCUUCUAUCUCUGAUUCUUUUGUAACUUAUCUAUUCUUCUUCACUUCUACUUCUACUCUCACUCUUUCUUCUUUUUCUCUGCUUUUUAUUGAAUAAACAUUCAUCAUUUAUUUUUAUAAAGACUCAGAUGCUUACUUCACUGCUUUAUCUACUUUUAUCUCACUCUUUUUCAUUCUGAUUGAUUUUUCUCUGUGUAUAUAUUUUCAUUAUUUUAUUAAGCUUUCUGCAAAUCUUUUUAUUAAAGAUAUUAAAUUAAUAUAUUAGAUUCUUUGUAAAGCAGAGAUAUGCUCUGCACUUCUAUAUACUCAUCUUAAGAUUUUAAAAUUCUUGAUAUAGACUAAGUUUUAAUUUUUAUUGUAUAUAAAUUAUUUCUGAG